RNAcentral lists this ribosomal RNA (497 nucleotides) under uncultured bacterium. RNAcentral describes it as "partial 16S ribosomal RNA". It matches the Rfam family "Bacterial small subunit ribosomal RNA", at positions 28 to 507 of the family's 1533-position model. The record is from RNAcentral.
GAUGAACGCUGGCGGCGUGCCUAAUACAUGCAAGUCGAGCGAACGGACGAGAAGCUUGCUUCUCUGAUGUUAGCGGCGGACGGGUGAGUAACACGUGGAUAACCUACCUAUAAGACUGGGAUAACUUCGGGAAACCGGAGCUAAUACCGGAUAAUAUUUUGAACCGCAUGGUUCAAAAGUGAAAGACGGUCUUGCUGUCACUUAUAGAUGGAUCCGCGCUGCAUUAGCUAGUUGGUAAGGUAACGGCUUACCAAGGCAACGAUGCAUAGCCGACCUGAGAGGGUGAUCGGCCACACUGGAACUGAGACACGGUCCAGACUCCUACGGGAGGCAGCAGUAGGGAAUCUUCCGCAAAGGGCGAAAGCCUGACAGAGCAACGCCGCGUGAGUGAUGAAGGUCUUCGGAUCGUAAAACUCUGUUAUUAGGGAAGAACAUAUGUGUAAGUAACUGUGCACAUCUUGACGGUACCUAAUCAGAAAGCCACGGCUAACUACGUG